This 1535-nucleotide ribosomal RNA is filed under the name Prevotella sp. P4-98. RNAcentral describes it as "bacterial SSU rRNA". It matches the Rfam family "Bacterial small subunit ribosomal RNA". The record is from RNAcentral. Lineage: Bacteria; Pseudomonadati; Bacteroidota; Bacteroidia; Bacteroidales; Prevotellaceae.
UUACAAUGGAGAGUUUGAUCCUGGCUCAGGAUGAACGCUAGCUACAGGCUUAACACAUGCAAGUCGAGGGGCAGCAUUAUCGAAGCUUGCUUUGAUAGAUGGCGACCGGCGCACGGGUGAGUAACGCGUAUCCAACCUUCCCCAUAGUCAGGAAUAGCCCGGCGAAAGUCGAAUUAAUGCCUGAUGUUUUCCACGGACGGCAUCUGAUGUGGAACAAAGAUUCAUCGCUAUGGGAUGGGGAUGCGUCUGAUUAGCUUGUUGGCGGGGUAACGGCCCACCAAGGCAACGAUCAGUAGGGGUUCUGAGAGGAAGGUCCCCCACAUUGGAACUGAGACACGGUCCAAACUCCUACGGGAGGCAGCAGUGAGGAAUAUUGGUCAAUGGGCGGAAGCCUGAACCAGCCAAGUAGCGUGAGGGAUGACUGCCCUAUGGGUUGUAAACCUCUUUUAUAAGGGAAUAAAAUACGGGACGUGUCCUGUUUUGCAUGUACCUUAUGAAUAAGGACCGGCUAAUUCCGUGCCAGCAGCCGCGGUAAUACGGAAGGUCCGGGCGUUAUCCGGAUUUAUUGGGUUUAAAGGGAGCGCAGGCGGUCUUAUAAGCGUGACGUGAAAUGCAGCGGCUCAACCGUAUGAUGUGCGUCGCGAACUGUGAGACUUGAGUGUAUUCGAUGUCAGCGGAAUUUGUGGUGUAGCGGUGAAAUGCUUAGAUAUCACGAAGAACUCCGAUUGCGAAGGCAGCUGACAAGGCUACAACUGACGCUAAAGCUCGAAAGUGCGGGUAUCGAACAGGAUUAGAUACCCUGGUAGUCCGCACGGUAAACGAUGGAUGCCCGGUGUUUGCGAUAUACAGUGAGCGCCCAAGCGAAAGCGUUAAGCAUCCCACCUGGGGAGUACGCCGGCAACGGUGAAACUCAAAGGAAUUGACGGGGGCCCGCACAAGCGGAGGAACAUGUGGUUUAAUUCGAUGAUACGCGAGGAACCUUACCCGGGCUUGAACUGUAGGCGAACGAUCCAGAGAUGGUGAGGCCCUUCGGGGCGCCUAUGGAGGUGCUGCAUGGUUGUCGUCAGCUCGUGCCGUGAGGUGUCGGCUUAAGUGCCAUAACGAGCGCAACCCCUCUCUUCAGUUGCCAUCAGUUUAGGCUGGGCACUCUGGAGACACUGCCACCGUAAGGUGUGAGGAAGGUGGGGAUGACGUCAAAUCAGCACGGCCCUUACGUCCGGGGCUACACACGUGUUACAAUGGGUGGUACAGAGAGUUGGGUGUACGCAAGUGCAUUCUAAUCAAGAAAGCCAUCCUCAGUUCGGACUGGGGUCUGCAACCCGACCCCACGAAGCUGGAUUCGCUAGUAAUCGCGCAUCAGCCAUGGCGCGGUGAAUACGUUCCCGGGCCUUGUACACACCGCCCGUCAAGCCAUGAAAGCUGGGGGCACCUGAAGUCCGUGACCGCAAGGGUCGGCCUAGGGUGAAACCGGUGAUUGGGGCUAAGUCGUAACAAGGUAGCCGUACCGGAAGGUGCGGCUGGAACACCUCCUUUCU